AUCAUCAUAUUCCAUCCCAUGCGCAGCAUUGAGAAAGGGCAAGUCUCUGGAACCAGUUCUGACGGAAAGCAAGCUCAGAGUUUCGCAUGACAGGAAAGACACAUGCACACAGGUCAUCAAAAACAUGUUGUAUUGGUUUAUCUUAAAACACAAGUAUCUAACCUCAAAUUGCUUUAAUUUGGAUAUUUGCAAUAUGAGUAAUUUGGACUUUUUUUUUUACCUUUUAACAAAUUUAAACCGGUAAAAAAAAUUAUCAAAUUUUGUUUUUCAAUAUUGUAUGACUUCAAAAAGUUAAUAAAGUAAAAUAAGAGAGAAGAUACAAAUAAGCAGUCUUCCUAAAAUAAAUGGGUGUUUUACAAUUUGUGAGAUAAGAUUA
Long non-coding RNA from Penaeus indicus, 376 nucleotides. RefSeq lists it as uncharacterized. The transcript is spliced from 3 exons. NCBI's taxonomy places the organism in Eukaryota, Metazoa, Arthropoda, Malacostraca, Decapoda, Penaeidae. The record is from RefSeq and is a predicted model, not a curated record.